This 87-nucleotide transfer RNA is filed under the name bacterium. RNAcentral's name for it is "tRNA-Ser". It matches the Rfam family "tRNA". From Rfam's summary of the family: Transfer RNA (tRNA) molecules are approximately 80 nucleotides in length. Their secondary structure includes four short double-helical elements and three loops (D, anti-codon, and T loops). The record is from RNAcentral.
GGAAGGAUCGCAUAGUGGCCUAGUGCGCACGCUUGGAAAGCGUGUGUCAUCGCAAGAUGACCGUGGGUUCAAAUCCCACUCCUUCCG